This 415-nucleotide ribosomal RNA is filed under the name uncultured prokaryote. RNAcentral describes it as "bacterial SSU rRNA". It matches the Rfam family "Bacterial small subunit ribosomal RNA", at positions 355 to 774 of the family's 1533-position model. The record is from RNAcentral.
UGAGGAAUUUUGCGCAAUGGGGGAAACCCUGACGCAGCAACGCCGCGUGGGUGAUGAAGGCCUUCGGGUCGUAAAGCCCUGUCGGGCGGGAAGAACGUCCCUUCGGGGAAUGACGGUACCGCCAGAGGAAGCACCGGCUAACUCCGUGCCAGCAGCCGCGGUAAUACGGAGGGUGCAAGCGUUAUUCGGAAUUACUGGGCGUAAAGGGCGUGCAGGCGGGAGAGCAAGUCUGAUGUGAAAGCCCGGGGCUUAACCCCGGAAGGGCAUUGGAAACUGCUUUUCUUGAGUUCUGGAGAGGAAGGGAGAAUUCCCGGUGUAGAGGUGAAAUUCGUAGAGAUCGGGAGGAACAUCAGUGGCGAAGGCGCCCUUCUGGACAGCAACUGACGCUGAGACGCGAAAGCGUGGGGAGCAAACA